UAUUGAUUGGUGCUUGCAUCAUGAUUUACAUUUGAGUGAGUGGCGAACUGGUGAGUAACACGUGGGAAACCUGCCCAGAAGCGGGGGAUAACACCUGGAAACAGAUGCUAAUACCGCAUAACAACUUGGACCGCAUGGUCCGAGUUUGAAAGAUGGCUUCGGCUAUCACUUUUGGAUGGUCCCGCGGCGUAUUAGCUAGAUGGUGAGGUAACGGCUCACCAUGGCAAUGAUACGUAGCCGACCUGAGAGGGUAAUCGGCCACAUUGGGACUGAGACACGGCCCAAACUCCUACGGGAGGCAGCAGUAGGGAAUCUUCCACAAUGGACGAAAGUCUGAUGGAGCAACGCCGCGUGAGUGAAGAAGGGUUUCGGCUCGUAAAACUCUGUUGUUAAAGAAGAACAUAUCUGAGAGUAACUGUUCAGGUAUUGACGGUAUUUAACCAGAAAGCCACGGCUAACUACGUGCCAGCAGCCGCGGUAAUACGUAGGUGGCAAGCGUUGUCCGGAUUUAUUGGGCGUAAAGCGAGCGCAGGCGGUUUUUUAAGUCUGAUGUGAAAGCCUUCGGCUCAACCGAAGAAGUGCAUCGGAAACUGGGAAACUUGAGUGCAGAAGAGGACAGUGGAACUCCAUGUGUAGCGGUGAAAUGCGUAGAUAUAUGGAAGAACACCAGUGGCGAAGGCGGCUGUCUGGUCUGUAACUGACGCUGAGGCUCGAAAGUAUGGGUAGCAAACAGGAUUAGAUACCCUGGUAGUCCAUACCGUAAACGAUGAAUGCUAAGUGUUGGAGGGUUUCCGCCCUUCAGUGCUGCAGCUAACGCAUUAAGCAUUCCGCCUGGGGAGUACGGCCGCAAGGCUGAAACUCAAAGGAAUUGACGGGGGCCCGCACAAGCGGUGGAGCAUGUGGUUUAAUUCGAAGCUACGCGAAGAACCUUACCAGGUCUUGACAUACUAUGCAAAUCUAAGAGAUUAGACGUUCCCUUCGGGGACAUGGAUACAGGUGGUGCAUGGUUGUCGUCAGCUCGUGUCGUGAGAUGUUGGGUUAAGUCCCGCAACGAGCGCAACCCUUAUUAUCAGUUGCCAGCAUUAAGUUGGGCACUCUGGUGAGACUGCCGGUGACAAACCGGAGGAAGGUGGGGAUGACGUCAAAUCAUCAUGCCCCUUAUGACCUGGGCUACACACGUGCUACAAUGGAUGGUACAACGAGUUGCGAACUCGCGAGAGUAAGCUAAUCUCUUAAAGCCAUUCUCAGUUCGGAUUGUAGGCUGCAACUCGCCUACAUGAAGUCGGAAUCGCUAGUAAUCGCGGAUCAGCAUGCCGCGGUGAAUACGUUCCCGGGCCUUGUACACACCGCCCGUC
This 1355-nucleotide ribosomal RNA is filed under the name Lactiplantibacillus plantarum. Its description in RNAcentral is "bacterial SSU rRNA". It matches the Rfam family "Bacterial small subunit ribosomal RNA", at positions 68 to 1398 of the family's 1533-position model. Lineage: Bacteria; Bacillati; Bacillota; Bacilli; Lactobacillales; Lactobacillaceae. The record is from RNAcentral.